RNAcentral lists this ribosomal RNA (693 nucleotides) under uncultured bacterium. RNAcentral describes it as "bacterial SSU rRNA". It matches the Rfam family "Bacterial small subunit ribosomal RNA", at positions 54 to 743 of the family's 1533-position model. The record is from RNAcentral.
CAUGCAAGUCGAACGGUAGCACAGAGAGCUUGCUCUCGGGUGACGAGUGGCGGACGGGUGAGUAAUGUCUGGGAAACUGCCUGAUGGAGGGGGAUAACUACUGGAAACGGUAGCUAAUACCGCAUAACGUCGCAAGACCAAAGAGGGGGACCUUCGGGCCUCUUGCCAUCAGAUGUGCCCAGAUGGGAUUAGCUAGUAGGUGGGGUAACGGCUCACCUAGGCGACGAUCCCUAGCUGGUCUGAGAGGAUGACCAGCCACACUGGAACUGAGACACGGUCCAGACUCCUACGGGAGGCAGCAGUGGGGAAUAUUGCACAAUGGGCGCAAGCCUGAUGCAGCCAUGCCGCGUGUAUGAAGAAGGCCUUCGGGUUGUAAAGUACUUUCAGCGGGGAGGAAGGUGUUGUGGUUAAUAACCGCAGCAAUUGACGUUACCCGCAGAAGAAGCACCGGCUAACUCCGUGCCAGCAGCCGCGGUAAUACGGAGGGUGCAAGCGUUAAUCGGAAUUACUGGGGCGUAAAGCGCACGCAGGCGGUCUGUCAAGUCGGAUGUGAAAUCCCCGGGCUCAACCUGGGAACUGCAUUCGAAACUGGCAGGCUAGAGUCUUGUAGAGGGGGUAGAAUUCCAGUGUAGCGUGAAAUGCGUAGAGAUCUGGAGGAUACCGGUGGCGAAGCGGCCCCUUGACAAAGACUGA